CACCCGAUGGCACAGGGUGUGUGUCUGCUACCUUUGAGAACCCAGUGUAGAAUUUAUGCAGAAGGUCCUCGUUUGAUUCGGGGUCGGGUGA
Mycena latifolia is the source of this 91-nucleotide non-coding RNA. Lineage: Eukaryota; Fungi; Basidiomycota; Agaricomycetes; Agaricales; Mycenaceae. The record is from the annotation of a GenBank genome assembly.